CGGCCAUCUUGGCUCCUCCCCCCGAGAUUGAUAAAUCCAAGAAAAUAGAGAAGAUCAAAAGAAGAUACAUAGCUGAAAACACUUGAAGGUAUAGACUACCUUGAAAGUCACGCAAGAACUGUUCUUCCUGCUUUCCAUAUCCAAGAUGCAGAAGUCAAGGCACAGGGAUGUGAACAUACGUGGGUCAUGUUUCAUAGUACCUGGACCAAGAGAAGAGGUCUCUCUAUGUUGAGAAAAUGGCAAUGCCUUCCCACAGCAUGGUACUUCUUCUCCUUCUGAGAAUGAUACUGUUACAUAAAGGUUUUCGGCGGUGCCCCAGAACACGGAGAUUUCCUUCUGCCCAGCUGCAUGAGGCACACAUAUCCUGGGAUGGCAUUAGGAAGAUGGCCACUUUCACAUCAACUUAUGUACUCUGGCACCAACCUCUCUUCUCCCUACCCAGCCCAACUUCCCACCCACUGCUAUUGGGAUGAUAUGUGCUCUUGGGUAAGGAAUGCAUAUCCAAAUGCUACCUCAGAUCAGGGAGGUAAUACCUGGCCUCAAUUCUCUGCCCUUAAAGAAUCUUGCAGCCAAAUUGGGUAAAGAGUCAAGACCCAUCGGUGUGCUUUAUUCAGGAGACCCAUCUCACGUGCA
This 633-nucleotide long non-coding RNA is filed under the name Homo sapiens (human). Its description in RNAcentral is "HSALNT0316986". Lineage: Eukaryota; Metazoa; Chordata; Mammalia; Primates; Hominidae. The record is from RNAcentral.